UUCAAUGCUACCCAUUUCUCG
Molecule: non-coding RNA, 21 nt
Organism: Caenorhabditis elegans
Lineage: Eukaryota; Metazoa; Nematoda; Chromadorea; Rhabditida; Rhabditidae
Source: Ensembl